GGCGGAUGUCGCCUAGUGGAUC
This 22-nucleotide transfer RNA is filed under the name Hedysarum lehmannianum. RNAcentral describes it as "partial tRNA-His". Lineage: Eukaryota; Viridiplantae; Streptophyta; Magnoliopsida; Fabales; Fabaceae. The record is from RNAcentral.